UCUUGGUCAUUUAGAGGAAGUAAAAGUCGUAACAAGGUUUCCGUAGGUGAACCUGCGGAAGGAUCAUUACUGAUUUGCUUAAUUGCACCACAUGUGUUUUUCUUUGAAACAAACUUGCUUUGGCGGUGGGCCCAGCCUGCCGCCAGAGGUCUAAACUUACAACCAAUUUUUUAUCAACUUGUCACACCAGAUUAUUACUAAUAGUCAAAACUUUCAACAACGGAUCUCUUGGUUCUCGCAUCGAUGAAGAACGCAGCGAAAUGCGAUACGUAAUAUGAAUUGCAGAUAUUCGUGAAUCAUCGAAUCUUUGAACGCACAUUGCGCCCUCUGGUAUUCCGGAGGGCAUGCCUGUUUGAGCGUCGUUUCUCCCUCAAACCGCUGGGUUUGGUGUUGAGCAAUACGACUUGGGUUUGCUUGAAAGACGGUAGUGGUAAGGCGGGAUCGCUUUGACAAUGGCUUAGGUCUAACCAAAAACAUUGCUUGCGGCGGUAACGUCCACCACGUAUAUCUUCAAACUUUGACCUCAAAUCAGGUAGGACUACCCGCUGAACUUAAGCAUAUCAAUAAGCGGAGGAAAUCAC
Molecule: ribosomal RNA, 581 nt
Filed under: uncultured Candida
Lineage: Eukaryota; Fungi; Ascomycota; Saccharomycetes; Saccharomycetales
Description: partial 18S ribosomal RNA
Rfam family: 5.8S ribosomal RNA (bases 209-362)
Source: RNAcentral